RNAcentral lists this ribosomal RNA (497 nucleotides) under uncultured bacterium. RNAcentral describes it as "partial 16S ribosomal RNA". It matches the Rfam family "Bacterial small subunit ribosomal RNA", at positions 28 to 507 of the family's 1533-position model. The record is from RNAcentral.
GAUGAACGCUGGCGGCGUGCCUAAUACAUGCAAGUCGAGCGAACGGACGAGAAGCUUGCUCCUCUGAUGUUAGCGGCGGACGGGUGAGUAACACGUGGAUAACCUACCUAUAAGACUGGGAUAACUUCGGGAAACCGUAGCUAAUACCGGAUAAUAUUUUUAACCGCAUGGUUCAAUAGUGAAAGACGGUUUUGCUGUCACUUAUCGAUGGAUCCGCGCUGCAUUAGCUAGUUGGUAAGGUAACGGCUUACCAAGGCAACGAUGCAUAGCCGACCUGAGAGGGUGAUCGGCCACACUGGAACUGAGACACGGUCCAGACUCCUACGGGAGGCAGCAGUAGGGAAUCUUCCGCAAUGGGCGAAAGCCUGACGGAGCAACGCCGCGUGAGUGAUGAAGGUCUUCGGAUCGUAAAACUCUGUUAUUAGGGAAGAACAUAUGUGUAAGUAACUGUGCACAUCUUGACGGUACCUAAUCAGAAAGCCACGGCUAACUACGUG